RNAcentral lists this ribosomal RNA (499 nucleotides) under uncultured bacterium. RNAcentral's name for it is "partial 16S ribosomal RNA". It matches the Rfam family "Bacterial small subunit ribosomal RNA", at positions 28 to 523 of the family's 1533-position model. The record is from RNAcentral.
GAUGAACGCUAGCGGCAGGCCUAAUACAUGCAAGUCGAGCGGCAAGUCGAGGAGUAAUCUGAGACCUAGAGCGGCGUACGGGUGCGUAACGCGUAUGCAACCUACCUCAUACAGGGGGAUAGCCCGGAGAAAUCUGGAUUAAUACCCCAUAGCACAGCACAAGGGCAUCUGCGAGCUGUUAAAGAUUCAUCGGUAUGAGAUGGGCAUGCGUCUGAUUAGCUAGUUGGCGGUGUAACGGACCACCAAGGCGACGAUCAGUAGGGGUUCUGAGAGGAAGGUCCAGCACACUGGCACUGAGAUACGGGACAGACUCCUACGGGAGGCAGCAGUAGGGAAUAUUGGGCAAUGGACGAGAGUCUGACCCAGCCAUGCCGCGUGCAGGAAGAAGGCCGUCUGGGUUGUAAACUGCUUUUAUCUGGGAAGAAAAGGCCCAUGCGUGGGACAUUGCCGGUACCAGAUGAAUAAGCACCGGCUAACUCCGUGCCAGCCGCCGCGGUAA